UACGGAGGGUGCAAGCGUUAUCCGGAUUCACUGGGUUUAAAGGGCGCGUAGGCGGCUUUGCAAGUGGCGGGUGAAAUCCCUCGGCUUAACCGAGGAACUGCCUGUCAAACUGCAUGGCUUGAGACCAGGAGAGGUGAGUGGAAUUCCCAGUGUAGCGGUGAAAUGCGUAGAUAUUGGGAGGAACACCAGUGGCGAAGGCGGCUCACUGGACUGGUACUGACGCUGAUGCGCGAAAGCGUGGGGAGCAAACAGG
This 253-nucleotide ribosomal RNA is filed under the name uncultured bacterium. RNAcentral's name for it is "partial 16S ribosomal RNA". It matches the Rfam family "Bacterial small subunit ribosomal RNA", at positions 524 to 776 of the family's 1533-position model. The record is from RNAcentral.